RNAcentral lists this ribosomal RNA (403 nucleotides) under bacterium. Its description in RNAcentral is "partial 16S ribosomal RNA". It matches the Rfam family "Bacterial small subunit ribosomal RNA", at positions 355 to 776 of the family's 1533-position model. The record is from RNAcentral. RNAcentral also lists the same sequence under 1 other name.
UGGGGAAUAUUGCACAAUGGGGGAAACCCUGAUGCAGCGACGCCGCGUGAACGAAGAAGGUAUUCGUAUCGUAAAGUUCUGUCCUAUGGGAAGAUAAUGACAGUACCAUAGAAGAAAGCUCCGGCUAAAUACGUGCCAGCAGCCGCGGUAAUACGUAUGGAGCGAGCGUUGUCCGGAAUUAUUGGGCGUAAAGGGUACGCAGGCGGUUUAAUAAGUCGAAUGUUAAAGAUCGGGGCUCAACCCCGUAAAGCAUUGGAAACUGAUAAACUUGAGUAGUGGAGAGGAAAGUGGAAUUCCUAGUGUAGUGGUGAAAUACGUAGAUAUUAGGAGGAAUACCAGUAGCGAAGGCAACUUUCUGGACACAAACUGACGCUGAGGUACGAAAGCGUGGGGAGCAAACAGG